UGAGUAACACGUAUCCAACCUGCCGUCUACUCUUGGACAGCCUUCUGAAAGGAAGAUUAAUACAAGAUGGCAUCAUGAGUCCGCAUGUUCACAUGAUUAAAGGUAUUCCGGUAGACGAUGGGGAUGCGUUCCAUUAGAUAGUAGGCGGGGUAACGGCCCACCUAGUCUUCGAUGGAUAGGGGUUCUGAGAGGAAGGUCCCCCACAUUGGAACUGAGACACGGUCUAA
RNAcentral lists this ribosomal RNA (227 nucleotides) under uncultured bacterium. RNAcentral's name for it is "partial 16S ribosomal RNA". It matches the Rfam family "Bacterial small subunit ribosomal RNA", at positions 107 to 334 of the family's 1533-position model. The record is from RNAcentral.